This 307-nucleotide long non-coding RNA is filed under the name Salmo trutta (river trout). RNAcentral's name for it is "lncRNA (ENSSTUG00000050323.1)". Lineage: Eukaryota; Metazoa; Chordata; Actinopteri; Salmoniformes; Salmonidae. The record is from RNAcentral.
AGAAAACCCAUUGAACUUUGUUUUAAUGGUUUUUGCGUCGAAAUAGGAUCAAUUAUAUGCAGAAAAGCUAACAGACAAAGCCAACCGGUACACAGUGCUCCUGUGGAGGAUGUUUGAUGAGUACUGUUGCCUGAUCUUCAAAGGUGCAGCUUAAAACAGCCACCCUUUACAGACAGUAGCAGAGGACUGGAGAGGUGUCUCACCCAUGGCCUGCUUACCCAUAGCACAGUGCAGAGGAAGGCUUAAGAAGAGAAGCAGUUUGUAAGUAAUCAAACACAAGGGAAAAGCCAGCAGCAACCAUCCUGGC